Molecule: ribosomal RNA, 478 nt
Filed under: uncultured bacterium
Lineage: Bacteria
Description: partial 16S ribosomal RNA
Rfam family: Bacterial small subunit ribosomal RNA
Source: RNAcentral
GACGAACGCUGGCGGCGUGCUUAACACAUGCAAGUCGAACGGUAAGGCCCUUCGGGGUACACGAGUGGCGAACGGGUGAGUAACACGUGGGUGAUCUGCCCUGCACUUCGGGAUAAGCCUGGGAAACUGGGUCUAAUACCGGAUAGGACCCUGGGAUGCAUGUCCUGGGGUGGAAAGCUUUUGCGGUGUGGGAUGGGCCCGCGGCCUAUCAGCUUGUUGGUGGGGUGAUGGCCUACCAAGGCGACGACGGGUAGCCGGCCUGAGAGGGUGACCGGCCACACUGGAACUGAGAUACGGCCCAGGCGCCUACGGGAGGCAGCAGUGGGGAAUAUUGCACAAUGGGCGCAAGCCUGAUGCAGCGACGCCGCGUGAGGGGUGACGGCCUUCGGGUUGUAAACCUCUUUCAGCACCGACGAAGCGCAAGUGACGGUAGGUGCAGAAGAAGGACCGGCCAACUACGUGCCAGCAGCCGCCGCCG